Molecule: long non-coding RNA, 421 nt
Organism: Daphnia magna
Lineage: Eukaryota; Metazoa; Arthropoda; Branchiopoda; Diplostraca; Daphniidae
Exons: 2
Source: RefSeq, a predicted model, not a curated record
UUUUCCAACAGGUGCGACCCCACAUUUGGGUUGACAAAUAGAUGUGCAUGUAGUUAUACUGACAACUCUACUUGGUUACCCCGGGUAAUUACACUUAAUGUCAACAAAGGCAUAUUUUCAUAGUGAAUAGGCCACAUCACACGUAUACUGGUUGAACAACCUGAUGAAAUAAAACAAAUAAGACUGCACACGUGGCGUGUUACUGUGCUGCACUCAAAUUCACUAUAUAAAGCCGUACUCGUUACACUGAAAAAGCAUCACUGUCAACCAGACAAAUCUACAUCAACCAACGUCAAAAAAUGUUCCAGAAACUCUUCAUCUUUGCCUUUGUUUUGGCUAUGAUGGCCAUCGUUUACACCAACAGUCUGCCUACCGGUGAAGAUGCUGGAGAGACUGAUCAAACGUUUUGCAGACCCUUUUG